RNAcentral lists this ribosomal RNA (487 nucleotides) under uncultured bacterium. RNAcentral's name for it is "bacterial SSU rRNA". It matches the Rfam family "Bacterial small subunit ribosomal RNA", at positions 32 to 507 of the family's 1533-position model. The record is from RNAcentral.
AACGCUGGCGGCAUGCCUUACACAUGCAAGUCGAACGGCAGCAUGGAAGAGCUUGCUCUUCUGAUGGCGAGUGGCGAACGGGUGAGUAAAGCAUCGGAACGUACCGUGUAGUGGGGGAUAACGUAGCGAAAGUUACGCUAAUACCGCAUACGCACUGAGGUGGAAAGCAGGGGAUCGCAAGACCUUGCGCUAUACGAGCGGCCGAUGUCAGAUUAGCUAGUUGGUAGGGUAAAGGCCUACCAAGGCGACGAUCCGUAGCGGGGUCUGAGAGGAUGAUCCGCCACACUGGGACUGAGACACGGCCCAGACUCCUACGGGAGGCAGCAGUGGGGAAUAUUGCACAAUGGGGGAAACCCUGAUGCAGCCAUGCCGCGUGUGUGAAGAAGGCCUUCGGGUUGUAAAGCACUUUCAGUGGGGAGGAAGGGGUGAUGCCUAAUACGCAUCAUCAUUGACGUUACCCACAGAAGAAGCCCCGGCUAACUCCGUG